RNAcentral lists this ribosomal RNA (450 nucleotides) under uncultured bacterium. RNAcentral describes it as "partial 16S ribosomal RNA". It matches the Rfam family "Bacterial small subunit ribosomal RNA", at positions 354 to 796 of the family's 1533-position model. The record is from RNAcentral.
GUGGGGAAUUUUGGACAAUGGGCGCAAGCCUGAUCCAGCAAUGCCGCGUGCAGGAAGAAGGCCUUCGGGUUGUAAACUGCUUUUGUACGGAACGAAACGGUCCUGGUUAAUACCUGGGGCUCAUGACGGUACCGUAAGAAUAAGCACCGGCUAACUACGUGCCAGCAGCCGCGGUAAUACGUAGGGUGCAAGCGUUAAUCGGAAUUACUGGGCGUAAAGCGUGCGCAGGCGGUUUUGUAAGACAGACGUGAAAUCCCCGGGCUCAACCUGGGAAUGGCGUUUGUGACUGCAAAGCUGGAGUGCGGCAGAGGGGGAUGGAAUUCCGCGUGUAGCAGUGAAAUGCGUAGAUAUGCGGAGGAACACCGAUGGCGAAGGCAAUCCCCUGGGCCUGCACUGACGCUCAUGCACGAAAGCGUGGGGAGCAAACAGGAUUAGAUACCCUGGUAGUCC